GGCACUUUGGCGGAGUGGUUAACGCGAUGCCCUGCUAAGGCAUUUCCUUCGGGAGCGUGUGUUCGAAUCACACAGGUGUCG
Aulographum hederae CBS 113979 is the source of this 81-nucleotide non-coding RNA. The record is from the annotation of a GenBank genome assembly. NCBI's taxonomy places the organism in Eukaryota, Fungi, Ascomycota, Dothideomycetes, Aulographales, Aulographaceae.